Molecule: long non-coding RNA, 2887 nt
Filed under: Homo sapiens (human)
Lineage: Eukaryota; Metazoa; Chordata; Mammalia; Primates; Hominidae
Description: non-protein coding lnc-MEI4-15:1
Source: RNAcentral
UUAUUAUUGUAGGUAUUCUUAUUCACAUUCUCACUUCCAUUGCUCUUCUUUCUUCCUCAACUUAUUUAAUGUACUUCAGGUAUAAAGUCCAAAGGGAGGAGGAGAGGGAGGACUAAGGAAAUAUUGUUGAUAUAGGUUCUUCUGGAAAAGGUUUCAAACAAAAUUCAGCUGAACAGAUGUUUUGAGGAAACCUCAGCAAAAAAUGUAAAAAUGCUGCAGAGCAUUGAGUAUUUAAGCUGAAAUACAAGAACAAGUAAAGCUUAAGAGUGACAAAAUAAAAUAACAGUAAUUGCAAAAGCUGCAAUUACUUUUGCCCCACCCUAAUGUUCUAUAUUUCCACAAAGAAGAAAUAAAAACAAAGGAAGACAGGCUAAGUCAAAUUGUACAGUUAAUUUCUAAAUCUUUAAUAACAGUCAAACAGCAUCAAUUAAACCUAAUAAAUACAGCAGUAGAAAUUUAGAGUGCAAUAGAAUGAAUAACAUUAUUGAAUAAAAUUGGGUAAUAAAAGAAAAGGAGACAAAAAUUUUAUUUUUGCUUGUAGUGGGGAAUAAAUAAGAAUUAUCUAAAUUAAAUAUCUAAUUAUCUAAAUUAAUUGUCUAAAUUAAAAAGAUGCUAAGAUUCCAUUCAACUCCAGCCCUCCGGCCUGGGUGACAGAGCAAGACUCCAUUCCUGGGUUGCUUGAACCAUCAAAUUUUAUUUAGCCCCAUCUGAACACUUUCUAAAUUUACAAGACAUAAUAUUUUACAACAAAAAUUGGCCUUCAUUUCAAUGACUCUGAACUCCACUAGAAUCUGAUCAACAAAUACAGAAUAAAAUAAGGUAUGAUAAGAUUAGAAUAAUGAAUAUAUUGUUUUUUAUAAUAUAAUUACUUGAAAAUACUUAAAUCGAAUCAUCUCUCUUUUAGUCAAUGAUAUCCAUUUCUAGACCAUCUUGAAUUCAUAAACAUUGUUAUAGUAAAUAAACUCUAACACAUUUCAGCAGUUUAAUUAGCUUUGCUAGGAAGUUCGAAUUUUAUUUUAGAAUAUGCUGUUGUCAACUCCUUGAUCCAAACUAGGAGACUCCUUUUAGGUGAAACAAUCUCUAUACAUGCUGACCAUGGCAAUGAUUGGGUUGUUACUAUGGAAAAAGCAAUUGAAAAUUAAGGAAGACUAGCAGCCACAUUAAUUAAUUGUCAGAACUCAGGCUCUGUUGCUGGCCUUUUGAGGAUACUGAAUAAAAUGUGUGUUGUGUCACUGCAUUUUGACUGAAACCUGUCAAAUGAGAUAGGGUGUGGAAUUUUCCACUUGUGGCAUUACAUUGGCACUCAAAAAAUUUCAGAUUUUGGAGCAUUUCAGAUUUUGGAGCAUUUCAGAUUUUUGGAUUAAGGAUGCUCAACCUGUAAGUAAUUUUAAAAGUGCCUGUCAUACUGUAAAUGCCAAAUAAGAAUUUAUCGUGCUUAUCACAUAUGGUUCACCUAUUUUAUUCUCAGACAUAAAACUGUUUUAUCCUUUAGUAACUGUGGAUGGUCAAUUCUGUUUUUCUGGGAUCACUCACUCAUGUGGUGGUAGUCAGUUGAAAUCUCAGUAGGGCCUGGAUGGACUAAGAUGACCUCACUCACAUGUCUGGCAAUUGGUGCUCACUGUAGGCUGGGAUACCUUAAAUCUCCUCCACAUGAACUCUCAUACCAUAGCAGGCUAGUGUGUUGUUUUUUUACUUGGCAACUCCAGGGAAGAUUUCUAAGAAGGUAAUAGAAACAACUUUAACACCUAUUGACACUCUGCUCUGAAGUUUCAUAAUAUGCGAUUUCUUUUCCAUCCUAUUAGCGAAGGCACAAGGCUAUCUCAAAUUUAACAAAACAAAACAUUUUGAUGAAACAAGAGAGCAGUUUAAUGGUGAUAUUUUCCUCUUGCAUCUAUCAUCCUAUUUGUAUUUAAGCAGAGCUAUGGCAUCUUACACUCAAUGGGUUGGCUACUAUCUAAAACAAAACGAGAAAACAGAAAAUACAAGUGUUGUUGGGGAUGUGGAGAAAUUCAAAGUUUUAUACACUGGUGGUAGGAAUAUAAAAUGGAAGUGUUCUAAAUUAGUGGUUCAAAAUGGAUUAAAUACUUAAAUGUAAGAUCUGAAACUAUAAAACUACUAGAAGUAAACAUAGGAAAAAAACUUCGUGACACUUUUAAGGGCAAUAAUUAUUUUGGAUAUGACCCAAAAAGCACAGGCAACAGAAGUGAAAAUGGGCAAAUGGGAUUGCAUAAAAAUAAAAAUCUUCCGUAUAGCAAAGUAAACAAUUGACAGAGUGGAGAGAAAAUUUACAAAACGGGAGAAAAUUUUACAAACAUACAUGUGAUAAGGGGUUAAUGUCCAAAAUAUGUAAGGAAUUCAACACAAUAGCACGAAAGCAAAUAACCUAAUUUUUAAAAGUGGGCAAAUAACCUGAGUAGACAUUUUUCAAAAGAAGAUAUUCAAAUGGCCAAUAUAAAAUGAAAAUGUAUGAAAAAUGCUCAGCAUCACUAAUCAUCAGGAAAAUGCACAUUAAAACAACAAUUAGACGUCCUCACACGUGUUAGCGGAGGUUGCAGCGAGCUAAGAUUACCCCAUUGCAAUCCAGCCUGGGUGACAGAGUGAGACUCCAUCUCAGAAAAAAUAAAUAAAGAAUUUAUCAGAUCAAGUAAACAAGAAUAAUCAUAGAUUUUAAAGAUUUUCAAUAGUUAAUAAAAUUUAAUAUAUAAAUAUAUUUAUGUAUAUGCAUGUACAUAUUUGUGUGCCAUAUAUACUACACAUAUAUGUAAUACCUAUGCCUGUAAUCCCAGCUACUCUGGAGGCUGAGGCAGGAGAAUUGCUUGAGCCCGGGAGACGGAGGUUGCAGUGAGCCAAGAUCAUGCCACUCCAGCCUGGCUGACACAGUGAGACU